RNAcentral lists this ribosomal RNA (289 nucleotides) under uncultured bacterium. RNAcentral's name for it is "partial 16S ribosomal RNA". It matches the Rfam family "Bacterial small subunit ribosomal RNA", at positions 775 to 1067 of the family's 1533-position model. The record is from RNAcentral.
GGAUUAGAUACCCUGGUAGUCCACGCCGUAAACGAUGAUUACUGGUUGUGUGCGAUACACAGUGCGCGACUGAGCGAAAGCAUUAAGUAAUCCACCUGGGGAGUACGUUCGCAAGAAUGAAACUCAAAGGAAUUGACGGGGGCCCGCACAAGCGGAGGAACAUGUGGUUUAAUUCGAUGAUACGCGAGGAACCUUACCUGGGCUUAAAUGUAGAGUGCAUGAAUUGGAAACAGUUCUUUUCUUCGGAACUCUUUACAAGGUGCUGCAUGGUUGUCGUCAGCUCGUGCCG